This 465-nucleotide ribosomal RNA is filed under the name uncultured bacterium. RNAcentral's name for it is "partial 16S ribosomal RNA". It matches the Rfam family "Bacterial small subunit ribosomal RNA", at positions 331 to 793 of the family's 1533-position model. The record is from RNAcentral.
CCAGACUCCUACGGGAGGCAGCAGUAGGGAAUUUUCGUCAAUGGGCGCAAGUCUGAACCAGCCAUGCCGCGUGCAGGAUGACGGCUCUAUGAGUUGUAAACUGCUUUUGUACGAGGGUAAACCCCGAUACGUGUAUCGGGUUGAAAGUAUCGUACGAAUAAGGAUCGGCUAACUCCGUGCCAGCAGCCGCGGUAAUACGGAGGAUCCGAGCGUUAUCCGGAUUUAUUGGGUUUAAAGGGUGCGUAGGCGGUUUGAUAAGUUAGAGGUGAAAUGUCGGGGCUCAACCCCGAAACUGCCUCUAAUACUGUUGGACUAGAGACGGCGAGAAGUACGCGGAAUGCGCGGUGUAGCGGUGAAAUGCAUAGAUAUCGCGCAGAACUCCGAUUGCGAAGGCAGCGUACCGGCGCCGGACUGACGCUGAGGCACGAAAGCGUGGGUAUCGAACAGGAUUAGAUACCCCCGUAU